This 2297-nucleotide long non-coding RNA is filed under the name Olea europaea (common olive). Its description in RNAcentral is "long non-coding RNA (OEUR_LNC007346)". Lineage: Eukaryota; Viridiplantae; Streptophyta; Magnoliopsida; Lamiales; Oleaceae. The record is from RNAcentral.
AAUAAAUAACUUUUUCUACAUCUUUUUAAUUCCUCACAGUAAAUGUGAAAAAGAUUUCGUCUGACACAUGUAAAACCUUUUGCUUUUCAGCCUGCAUUAUGCAAAUAACCAUGCUUAAUGUACAGCACUUUGUACACCAGGCAUGAAGCCUCCUCACAUGAGGAGGGCCAUGUUGAUCGUGGGUUGUAAGUGUACUGCACUUCUUUAGUUUCCAAUCUAGAAGAGGAAUAAAUGCAACCCCUUUCUCUUUAAGCCCAACACAAUCACAUAGAACCGAAUCGGAAGAAACCAAAAUGCCUAGUGUGGAGUUCCUAAUCUACAGAUAAUUACACACUCGUUAUACCCAAGUUCUAGCUCUAGGCCACGAAUCAUUUGAAGGAAAUUACCUCUCUUCGUUAGCAUCAAGGAUUUUUCCCAAUUCUUUAGGUAUUUCGUUAUGUUUUUUCGUUUUCGCUUCUAGGUUUUCAUUUCGUUCAUUUUCCUUUCUGGGUUUUCAUUUUGUUCGCUCCUAUAUGAGUAUUCAUGUCCUGGAGGAGCGGUUACUCAAAAGGGACACUGGUUAAAUACUUGUGUCUUUAUUUUUUGGUUGCAGGAUUAACAAAAUCGAAUUUAUAUUUUAUAAGUUCUGAGUGUUAAAUUGGAAUCUCUCUAUUGAAUGAGAUCUGGAUUUUGUCCCAAACAGAAAUUUGUACACACACACACACACAUAUAUUUGCACAUAUUGUCUAUGCUUAUACACAUUAUAUAGGUACUGGGUUUUCUAUUUAGCAUUCGAUACUGCGUUUUUGUGGUUUUGUUAUAAUUAUGCAGUCCUUUGUUAUUAUUUUGAGUUGUUUUUCUUACAUUUGUUGUGAACAUUUGAUUUUUAAGUUUGAUAUGAUUAGGAUUUGCGUUUUUAUUAGUUCCACCUUUAUAUUUGUUCUUCACUUGGAACAGUUGAGACAUAUCCAUUUUGCAUUGUCAAGUUUGUGUAAUGAUUGUCUUGUUAUGAGUAUGUUAAAAUUGAGUUUCCACAGAACAAAUAAAUUUGUAAUUACUUGCACAAAAUUUAAUGAAAAGUCAUCCUAUCAUUGGGAUAAUCUAUUCUAAUUUUACACUUGUGUUAGAAUCACAUGAAUAAUUGUAUAUUCUUGUAGUGAAGCUUCAUGAAAUUGUAGCUAGCUAUCAUUUCCAUCCCAAUGCUUGUGUACUUUCACAUCAAGGAUGAAAAGAAUGCUUCAAGUGGUGAAAAUAUAGUAUUUUACUGCAAUUCACUAGCUUUCUCUCCAAGUUGAUACAUUAAUGAGCGAGACAAUUGUGUUAGGGUCUAAUAGUUGUGGGAUUCAAUCACCCUCAAGCCUGGGCUUUUGGGAGAGAUGAUUGGGUUCCCAUCAACUGGUAUCAGAGAAGACCCACAUCACAAGUUCGAAUCCCAAAAGGGGUGACCCAAGCAAAGUGCUAAAUACCAGUAGCUAAAGAAGGGCGGGUAAAGCCAAGGUCGUCUUGGAGUGGGCUGUCGUGGACUCGGAUUUGGGGCCGUGGGGUAUUGUUAGGGUCUAAUAGUUGUGGGAUUCAAUCACCCUAAAGCUUGGGCUUUUGGAAGAGAUGGUUGGGUUCCCAUCAAAUUGCAUUUAGCUUCGAUUCAGUAGUCUCAUAAUAGAGAUCUCUAUUACUAAUCAAAUACACCCAAAAGGUUUAGGAAAAGAAGUAAACAAGAGUUUAGUUAAAUUUAUAAUUCCAUAACCUUUUUUUUAAACUAUUAGAAUAUGCAUAAAAUUCAUUGGCUUCUUAACUAUAAUAUAUUGUAAUGGCAUUUGAGAUUGGGUUUCUCUCUCAAUUGGAUUAUUACAAAAACUAUAUUUUGUUAGCUUUUUGAAUUAUCAAUUUUGUAUGUAUAAAAAUUGAUGCAUAGCUAAUCAUGAAAAUAAUUUGUCUGCAUUGGUGACUAAGUUUUCUAUCAAUUGGAUAAUUAUAGUGUUGGAUGAUGGGAAUGAAACAAAGGAAAACAGUUUCAUCUAUAUAAGUUUUUAGCACUGUUUAUUUUGCUAUUAGGGAUAAGUUAUCUUCUUUAAAUAAUGUGAAUUUUACCUUCUAUCAGAUAAAUUUUAUUUGAACUACUUUUUUUUAUGUGCGUCAAAUAAUAUAUUAUGAUAUUUAACAAAUUCUGAUAUUAGCUUUGAUUUUGUCGGACAUAUAAAAAAAAAAAAAAAAAGUUGAGAGAAUUGUUUGAUUGCACUGGUAAUGAAUGGAACUUGAAGCAUCCUUGGUUAAGCUUAAAUGUAAUACGUUGCCAAUAAAAUUUCUUUUUUCUAUUUGNN